Molecule: ribosomal RNA, 240 nt
Filed under: uncultured bacterium
Lineage: Bacteria
Description: partial 16S ribosomal RNA
Rfam family: Bacterial small subunit ribosomal RNA
Source: RNAcentral
UGGGUAACCUGCCUCAAAGAGGGGAAUAGCCUCCCGAAAGGGAGAUUAAUACCGCAUAAUAUGUUUUGGUCACAUGGCCUUAUCAUCAAAGGAUUUUCUUCGGAAAUUCCACUUUGAGAUGGACCCGCGGUGCAUUAGCUAGUUGGUGAGGUAACGGCUCACCAAGGCAACGAUGCGUAGCCGACCUGAGAGGGUGAUCGGCCUCAUUGGAACUGAGACACGGUCCAGACCUCUACGGGA